GAUGAAUAACGCAGCGAAAUGCGAUACGUAAUGUGAAUUGCAAAUUCAGUGAAUCAUCGAGUCUUUGAACGCACAUUGCGCCCCCUGGUAUUCCGGGGGGCAUGCCUGUCCGAGCGUCAUUGCUGCCCUCAAGCACGGCUUGUGUGUUGGGCCCCGUCCUCCGAUUCCGGGGGACGGGCCCGAAAGGCAGCGGCGGCACCGCGUCCGGUCCUCGAGCGUAUGGGGCUUUGUCACCCGCUCUGUAGGCCCGGCCGGCGCUUGCCGAUCAACCCAAAUUUUUAUCCAGGUUGACCUCGGAUCAGGUAGGGAUACCCGCUGAACUUAAGCAUAUCAAUAAGCGGAGGA
Molecule: unclassified non-coding RNA, 345 nt
Filed under: soil metagenome
Description: partial contains 5.8S ribosomal RNA, internal transcribed spacer 2, and large subunit ribosomal RNA
Rfam family: 5.8S ribosomal RNA (bases 1-119)
Source: RNAcentral